CCUACGGGUGUCAGCAGUGAGGAAUAUUGGUCAAUGGACGAGAGUCUGAACCAGCCAAGUAGCGUGAAGGAUGACUGCCCUGUGGGUUGUAAACUUCUUUUAUAUGGGAAUAAAACGUUCCACGUGUGGGCUUUUGUAUGUACCAUAUGAAUAAGGAUCGGCUAACUCCGUGCCAGCAGCCGCGGUAAUACGGAGGAUCCGAGCGUUAUCCGGAUUUAUUGGGUUUAAAGGGAGCGUAGGUGGAUUGUUAAGUCAGUUGUGAAAGUUUGCGGCUCAACCGUAAAAUUGUAGUUGAAACUGGCAGUCGUGAGUAGAGGAGAGGUAGGCGGAAUGCGUGGUGUAGCGGUGAAAUGCUUAGAUAUCGCGAAGAACUCCGAUUGCGAAGGCAGUUCACUGGCCUGCAACUGACGCUGAGGCUCGAAAGUGUGGGUAUCAAACAGGAUUAGAUACCCUAGUAGUC
This 460-nucleotide ribosomal RNA is filed under the name uncultured bacterium. RNAcentral describes it as "partial 16S ribosomal RNA". It matches the Rfam family "Bacterial small subunit ribosomal RNA", at positions 338 to 795 of the family's 1533-position model. The record is from RNAcentral.